Molecule: long non-coding RNA, 86 nt
Organism: Symphalangus syndactylus (siamang)
Lineage: Eukaryota; Metazoa; Chordata; Mammalia; Primates; Hylobatidae
Source: RefSeq, a predicted model, not a curated record
CUUUUUUUUUUUUUUUUUUUUUGUGGUGAAUUGGUUUUUUUUUUUUUUUUUUUUUUUUUUUUUUUUUUUUUUUUUUUUUUGGAGAA